UGGGGAAUAUUGCACAAUGGAGGGAACUCUGAUGCAGCGACGCCGCGUGAACGAAGAAGGCUUUCGAGUCGUAAAGUUCUUUUAUAUGGGAAGAUAAUGACGGUACCAUAAGAAAAAGCCCCGGCUAACUACGUGCCAGCAGCCGCGGUAAUACGUAGGGGGCUAGCGUUGUCCGGAAUCACUGGGCGUAAAGGGUUCGCAGGCGGAAAUGCAAGUCAGGUGUAAAAGGCAGUAGCUUAACUACUGUAAGCAUUUGAAACUGCAUAUCUUGAGAAGAGUAGAGGUAAGUGAAAUUUUUGGUGUAGCGGUGAAAUGAGUAGAUAUUAAAAAGAAUACCGGUGGCGAAGGCGACGUACUGGGCUCAUUCUGACGCUGAGGAACGAAAGCGUGGGUAGAAAACAGG
RNAcentral lists this ribosomal RNA (403 nucleotides) under bacterium. RNAcentral's name for it is "partial 16S ribosomal RNA". It matches the Rfam family "Bacterial small subunit ribosomal RNA", at positions 355 to 776 of the family's 1533-position model. The record is from RNAcentral.